This 253-nucleotide ribosomal RNA is filed under the name uncultured bacterium. RNAcentral describes it as "partial 16S ribosomal RNA". It matches the Rfam family "Bacterial small subunit ribosomal RNA", at positions 524 to 776 of the family's 1533-position model. The record is from RNAcentral.
UACGAGGGGGGCGAGCGUUGUUCGGAAUUAUUGGGCGUAAAGGGUGCGUAGGCGGUUUGGUAAGUCUGAUGUGAAAUCUAUGGGCUCAACUCAUAGUCUGCAUCGGAAACUGCCGGGCUUGAGUGUGGGAGAGGCGAGUGGAAUUACAGGUGUAGCGGUGAAAUGCGUAGAUAUCUGUAGGAACACCUGUGGCGAAAGCGGCUCACUGGACCACAACUGACGCUGAUGCACGAAAGCUAGGGGAGCAAACAGG